This 396-nucleotide ribosomal RNA is filed under the name uncultured bacterium. Its description in RNAcentral is "bacterial SSU rRNA". It matches the Rfam family "Bacterial small subunit ribosomal RNA", at positions 138 to 518 of the family's 1533-position model. The record is from RNAcentral.
GGGGGAUAACAUCCGGAAACGGGUGCUAAUACCGCAUAGUUUCUUGAUCGCAUGAUCGGGAAGGAAAGACGGCCUUUGUGCUGUCGCUUAUGGAUGGACCCGCGGCGUAUUAGUUAGUUGGUGAGGUAACGGCUCACCAAGACGAUGAUACGUAGCCGACCUGAGAGGGUGAUCGGCCACAUUGGGACUGAGACACGGCCCAAACUCCUACGGGAGGCAGCAGUAGGGAAUCUUCCGCAAUGGACGAAAGUCUGACGGAGCAACGCCGCGUGAGUGAAGAAAAGGUUUUCGGAUCGUAAAACUCUGUUGUCAGAGAAGAACAAGUUGGAGAGUAACUGCUCCAGCCUUGACGGUAUCUGACCAGAAAGCCACGGCUAACUACGUGCCAGCCGCAGC